GACGAACGCUGGCGGCGUGCUUAACACAUGCAAGUCGAACGGAAAGGCCCUGCUUGCAGGGUACUCGAGUGGCGAACGGGUGAGUAACACGUGGGUGAUCUGCCCUGCACUUCGGGAUAAGCCUGGGAAACUGGGUCUAAUACCGGAUAGGAGCCAUUUUUAGUGUGAUGGUUGGAAAGUCUUUUCGGUGUAGGAUGAGCUCGCGGCCUAUCAGCUUGUUGGUGGGGUAAUGGCCUACCAAGGCGGCGACGGGUAGCCGGCCUGAGAGGGUGGACGGCCACAUUGGGACUGAGAUACGGCCCAGACUCCUACGGGAGGCAGCAGUGGGGAAGAUUGCACAAUGGGCGCAAGCCUGAUGCAGCGACGCCGCGUGGGGGAUGACGGCCUUCGGGUUGUAAACUCCUUUCGCUAGGGACGAAGCUUUUUGUGACGGUACCUAGAGAAGAAGCACCGGCUAACUACGUG
This 465-nucleotide ribosomal RNA is filed under the name uncultured bacterium. RNAcentral describes it as "partial 16S ribosomal RNA". It matches the Rfam family "Bacterial small subunit ribosomal RNA", at positions 28 to 507 of the family's 1533-position model. The record is from RNAcentral.